This 202-nucleotide long non-coding RNA is filed under the name Elaeis guineensis (African oil palm). RNAcentral describes it as "long non-coding RNA (EGUI_LNC059851)". The record is from RNAcentral. Lineage: Eukaryota; Viridiplantae; Streptophyta; Magnoliopsida; Arecales; Arecaceae.
GGGUCAAAAGAUCGAAUGGCUCAAAUGGUUGGCUUAUGCCUUCGCCUCUGCAUACGUGAGGUAUUGUCCGCUUUGACUCAUGAUCAUUUUUAGGCUUUAGUGGGUUUUAGGCUUCAAUGGGCCUUUAUCAUUUAGAGCCUCACGAUUUUGUCUUUUAAAAGGAGCCUCACGUUGGGAGAGAAGGUUCCAAUCUAUGUAAGCC